CCUACGGGUGGCAGCAGUGGGGGAUAUUGCACAAUGGGGGAAACCCUGAUGCAGCGACGCCGCGUGUGGGAAGACGGUCCUCUGGAUUGUAAACCACUGUCCCCAGGGACGAAGAUGACGGUACCUGGGGAGGAAGCUCCGGCUAACUACGUGCCAGCAGCCGCGGUAAUACGUAGGGAGCGAGCGUUGUCCGGAAUUACUGGGUGUAAAGGGAGCGUAGGCGGCGCUGCAAGUCCGGAGUGAAAGCCCAUGGCUUAACCAUGGUACUGCUCUGGAAACUGUGGAGCUUGAGUGCGGGAGGGGCAGGCGGAAUUCCAGGUGUAGGAGUGAAAUCCGUAGAUAUCUGGAGGAACAUCAGUGGCGAAGGCGACUAUCUGGCACAUAACUGACGCUGAGGAGCGAAAGCGUGGGUAGCAAACAGGAUUAGAUACCCCUGUAGUC
This 441-nucleotide ribosomal RNA is filed under the name uncultured bacterium. RNAcentral's name for it is "partial 16S ribosomal RNA". It matches the Rfam family "Bacterial small subunit ribosomal RNA", at positions 338 to 795 of the family's 1533-position model. The record is from RNAcentral.